This 474-nucleotide ribosomal RNA is filed under the name uncultured bacterium. RNAcentral's name for it is "SSU rRNA". It matches the Rfam family "Bacterial small subunit ribosomal RNA", at positions 26 to 518 of the family's 1533-position model. The record is from RNAcentral.
AGGACGAACGCUGGCGGCGUGCUUAACACAUGCAAGUCGAGCGGAAAGGCCCUUCGGGGUACUCGAGCGGCGAACGGGUGAGUAACACGUGAGCAACCUGCCCCUGGCUCUGGGAUAGCCUCCGGAAACGGGGAUUAAUACCGGACAUUCUCCUUCUUCCGCAUGGUUGAGGGUGGAAAGUUUUUUCGGCCGGGGAGGGGCUCGCGGCCUAUCAGCUUGUUGGCGGGGUAACGGCCCACCAAGGCGACGACGGGUAGCCGGCCUGAGAGGGCGACCGGCCACACUGGGACUGAGACACGGCCCAGACUCCUACGGGAGGCAGCAGUGGGGAAUAUUGCGCAAUGGGCGGAAGCCUGACGCAGCGACGCCGCGUGGGGGAUGGAAGGCCUUCGGGUUGUAAACCCCCGUUUCACCAGGAGCGAAUCAAGACGGUACCUGGGAAGAAGCGCCGGCUAACUACGCGCCAGCAGCCGC